Homarus americanus (American lobster) is the source of this 862-nucleotide long non-coding RNA. RefSeq lists it as uncharacterized. The record is from RefSeq and is a predicted model, not a curated record. Lineage: Eukaryota; Metazoa; Arthropoda; Malacostraca; Decapoda; Nephropidae. The transcript has 2 exons.
AUGAACGGUGUGUAAAGAAAAUAAUACCAAAAACAUAUUGAAAUUGCCACAUACAGUAUAUAAAUUUGUUUUAUCCGAAAACCACAAUUUUUAUCCCAUGACAAUAUAAUAAGGGCAUAUCAGCACUUAAAGCCAUUUCCUAUUAUUUUAUGCAUUACUGUACAUUAUAAUUUUUUUUAAAUUACAUUGGAAAUGUGAAAAUUUAUAUUUCCCCGGUGUUUGUAACUCACAGGUUGAAUUGGCCAAAGAAAAUUUUUAGAAAAAUGAAUCGGCAAGAUUGGGUCUGGAAUUUUUGGAAUAACUUAGGAGACCAAUAAAGACAAGAGGCACAGGCAAGGUUGGAGGAAGACCAAAGACGACGACACAGAAGACGACUCCACAGAAUUGUAACUGACCGCAUGAACCCAUUCACAGCAAUUAGCGAUGAUGAAUUUGUUGACCGAUUUAGGCUCCGAAAGGAAUCGGUUAACAGUAUCAUCCAAGAAAUUCAGGAUCUGCUUCCUGUUGCCAAUGAUAAGAGGUUGUCCUGUUCCUCCAAACCUACACGUUCUAUUAGCAAUACUUUGCAUGGUGACUGGAAGCCACCAAAUAUCAUUUGGAGACUGUUAUGAUGUGUCUCAAGCCUGUGUCAGUCUGUAUCUUGCAAGGGUUUCGAGAGCAAUAGCCAACCUUAGUGAACAGUUUAUAAAAUUUCCUGCUGGCAAUGAUUUACACAAAACAGUGCAGGCCUUUUACAAUAGUGCUAGAAUGCUGGGAGUCAUUGGAUCCAUAGGUACUGUAUAGAGCUACAGUACCAGGUUUGGGCUGUUUAUAAUACUUGUAGUUACAUUCAUGAUAUAAAGACAGGAGUUGAUUUUUUUAA